Molecule: non-coding RNA, 910 nt
Organism: Theobroma cacao (cacao)
Lineage: Eukaryota; Viridiplantae; Streptophyta; Magnoliopsida; Malvales; Malvaceae
Source: RefSeq, a predicted model, not a curated record
AGCGAGGCAAGGAAUAUGCCAUGGUGCCACCUCCACAGGCCAUAAAUCCUCAAUACAAGCCAACCAGCUAGCUCCAAGUGGCACAGGUGAUUACUGGAGGAGACGCUGGGAUAGGUAGAUCUGUAUGCUACCAUUCUGCUUUAGAAGCUGCAACCCUGGCCUUCACGUAUGUCAAGGGCCAAGAGAACAGGGACAAGGAUGAUACUUUGCAAAUGCUACAAGAAGAAAAGACCUGCACGCUCUUGAGCACAUGAAGAAGGAAGCUGCAUUAUGAACACAACACCAGUCCUUGGCUACACUGGUAGUCCAAAACUGCUUGGCUAUGGUGCAACCAAAGGAGCCAUCGUGGGAUUCACCAAGGGUCUGGAUCUCAAAACUUGUGGAGAAGGGAGCUCCAGCCCGUCUGGAGCCCUCUGCAACCGGCAUCCUUGCCUGUGGAUUGGGUCAAGAGCCUAGAGAGUGAGGCUCAAAUGGAAAGGGCAGCACAACCUUACGAAAUCGCACCGUCUUUUAGUGUUCUUGGAUCCUUCCAAUGCUCUUCCUACUUCACUGGCCAGUUCUUCCAUCUCAAUGGUGGAAUGUGACGAUCAGAUCAACGCUUGAAUGUAUGUGAGGUGCAGUGGUGUUUUCUUGUGUGUAUGAGUGUGAGCUAUGCAUGAACUGGGGCGGCUUGGAAGUCCAAGUUAGGUAGUGUGGAUGUGCUCCGUAUAUAGAGAAAAGAAAUUGUGGACAUCAUAUGGGUUGAUGUACAAGGAAAAUUCGGAGGAAAAAAAAUAUAGAUUCCACCUGCUUAAGUAUGAAAAUCGAUUGCUUUAAUUAAGGAUGGAAAUCGAUUGAAUGUAAACGUUGAUGAAAGCUGAUAGCCUGAUGCUGAAAAGCUAGGAAAAUUAAGUGUUCUGUUUGCUGAUUA